CCUACGGGAGGCAGCAGUGAGGAAUAUUGGACAAUGGGCGCAAGCCUGAUCCAGCCAUGCCGCGUGCAGGAAGACGGUCCUAUGGAUUGUAAACUGCUUUUAUACAGGAAGAAACACCUCUACGUGUAGAGACUUGACGGUACUGUAUGAAUAAGCAUCGGCUAACUCCGUGCCAGCAGCCGCGGUAAUACGGAGGAUGCAAGCGUUAUCCGGAAUCAUUGGGUUUAAAGGGUCCGUAGGCGGUUUAAUAAGUCAGUGGUGAAAACCCCAUCGCUCAACGAUGGAACGGCCAUUGAUACUGUUAAACUUGAAUUAUUAGGAAGUAACUAGAAUAUGUAGUGUAGCGGUGAAAUGCUUAGAGAUUACAUGGAAUACCAAUUGCGAAGGCAGGUUACUACUAAUAUAUUGACGCUGAUGGACGAAAGCGUGGGGANCGAACAGGAUUAGAUACCCUGGUAGUCCACGCCGUAAACGAUGGAUACUAGCUGUUCGGAGCAAUCUGAGUGGCUAAGCGAAAGUGAUAAGUAUCCCACCUGGGGAAGUACGUUCGCAAGAAUUGAAACUCAAAUUGAAUUGACGG
RNAcentral lists this ribosomal RNA (580 nucleotides) under uncultured bacterium. Its description in RNAcentral is "bacterial SSU rRNA". It matches the Rfam family "Bacterial small subunit ribosomal RNA", at positions 338 to 916 of the family's 1533-position model. The record is from RNAcentral.